GGACUGUCAGCCAUCAGUUACUAGGAUCAAUGAGAGUUUAUCGCCAGCAUCUUUUGAUUCUAUUGUGGUCACAGAAAGUGACACGAAGGUUGAUAAAUUCACAAGUACCAGUCCAAUGAAUUCUGCAGGAUGUUUAGAGGCAGGCCAGCUCAUGCAAGAACUUCACUGUGGGGAGCAUGGAGGUAGUUUUUCAGAGACUCAAUACGUCCCUGUUUUUGUUAUGCUUUCUAGUGGUGUAAUCAACAAUUUCUGCCAGUUGAUGGAUCCUGAUGGUGUUAAACAGGAGUUGCAACAGCUUAAGUCUUUAAAAAUUGAUGGUGUUGUGGUAAAUUGCUGGUGGGGCAUCGUUGAAAGCUGGGUGCCUCAAAAAUAUGAGUGGUCUGGCUACAGAGAAUUGUUCAAAAUAAUCCGUGAUUUCAAUAUGAAACUACAGGUUGUAAUGGCAUUUCAUGAAAAUGGAGGAAGUGAUACCGGUGGCAUGUUCAUAUCCCUUCCUCAGUGGGUUCUGGAGAUAGGCAAAGACAAUCAGGAUAUAUUCUUCACAGAUCAUCAAGGAAGAAGGAACACAGAAUGCCUAUCCUGGGGCAUUGACAAAGAACGAGUAUUAAGAGGUAGAACUGCCAUCGAGG
RNAcentral lists this unclassified non-coding RNA (629 nucleotides) under Hevea brasiliensis (rubber tree). The record is from RNAcentral. Lineage: Eukaryota; Viridiplantae; Streptophyta; Magnoliopsida; Malpighiales; Euphorbiaceae.